Molecule: transfer RNA, 71 nt
Filed under: Loxodonta africana (African savanna elephant)
Lineage: Eukaryota; Metazoa; Chordata; Mammalia; Proboscidea; Elephantidae
Rfam family: tRNA
About the family: Transfer RNA (tRNA) molecules are approximately 80 nucleotides in length.
Source: Rfam by way of RNAcentral
GCAGUGAUAGUUCACUGGUAGAAUUCCCACCUUCCAUGCAGGAGACCCAGGUUCAAUUCCUGGCCAAUACC